Poecilia latipinna (sailfin molly) is the source of this 390-nucleotide long non-coding RNA. RefSeq lists it as uncharacterized. The transcript is spliced from 2 exons. NCBI's taxonomy places the organism in Eukaryota, Metazoa, Chordata, Actinopteri, Cyprinodontiformes, Poeciliidae. The record is from RefSeq and is a predicted model, not a curated record.
UUAAAUUACAGACAUAUGGUCGCUCAUCUGAACGCUGAAACGAUCUCUGUUUGUCAAAAGAGGAACUGGCCAGGUGUGUUCCAGAUCCCACCCCCGCUCGGAGUAACUGAAGGAUCUGGGACACAUUAAGAAUUGUCUGGUUUUUGUAUACUGACCGGACUGGCGAGCUAACCAUAACGGAUUCAGAAAGUCACCCAUAAUCUGAGGAAACAUCUCCAAACCGGAAGGAAAAUUCAACCAACCACUUCACAGCUGGAACUAAAUGACUAUUUUUGUUUUUUCCCUUUCGUCACCGACAGAGACUUCCUUGGUUUAAGGAACUGGACUUUAAAGCUGUGAAACAAUUUGUAUAUAUUGUAAAUAUAAAUACACUUCAUUGAUUUUGCACUC